This 232-nucleotide long non-coding RNA is filed under the name Olea europaea (common olive). RNAcentral's name for it is "long non-coding RNA (OEUR_LNC005690)". Lineage: Eukaryota; Viridiplantae; Streptophyta; Magnoliopsida; Lamiales; Oleaceae. The record is from RNAcentral.
AAAAUAAGUAUUAUUUUUUUUUAAAGUAUUUUGAUAAGUCACUUUAGUUCCACAUACAGUAUAUUAGAAAGGAAAAAAUACAUAACUAAAUAUACAAUUUUCAAGGAUAAUAGCCUAAACAUAGUAUGAAAACAUUCAGACAGCAACAAGAAUUUAAGCAAAAAGCUACAUUAGCAAAGCAUGUUCUAAAGAGAAAACUCUCAAAAGGAAAAAAUAACCUGCUGAGGNNNNN